UGAACAUUAGGUAAAUGAAUGGGGAAGUUUGACAAGGUAAACUUUGUUUUUUAUAAUCAAUCUACUUUCAUAGAAAAAAUAGGAAGCACUUUCUCUUUGGAAACAUAUUUCUGUUAUUCGCCGUAGCACCCAGUAUACUACUUUUAUGGUUUCACGUCGCCCGUACUAAGAAACAACAAAAAGAUUGAUACUUAUGGCAGGUAUGUUGAAAAAUCAAGUAUUAGAAUAUGUGUUUUAACAAACUUGUAAGUGAUCUAUUAAACUUAUAACCUCUGGGGCUUGCAAGCAGUCAAAAAUUUAGUAACUUUUAACUAAAGAAAUAUUGAAAUUGACCGUAAAAUAUAAUUAAAAUUAAAAGGCUUUAAGUUUAUAUAAAAGUUUACGGCGAAAGAAUUCAGGACAAAAAGAUAAACCGAGAAUUUCGCGCACAUAGUUCUACAAUUAAGAAGAAGAUAUAAACAAGUUUCACAAAUUAUUAUAUUAGAUCGAGUAAAUUUCCAGUAACAAAUACUUUGGUUAAAACUAAAGAAACAAACACCACAUAUUCUAUACCCUUCUAGCAUUGCUCCAAUAAAGCCUUCAACUUAGGUUGCUUUUGAGCGAAGAGAUCCGACUUUUUUAAAGAUAGUUGAUAGAGCUGUCGUACAGAUUCAGUGUCAGGGAAUGUAUCGGAAAUUUUUUCAUUUACUUUGCUUAAUAAUCUUUUCAGUUCCGUUCUUGAUAACUCUAGUAAUUGUUGGCAACACUAUUAAAUUGUUAAUCAUUAAAUUCCUGUUAUAUUCAAAGAAAUAAUAAAUAAAGUUAAAAGCAGGGAUAAAUUACCUUUGAGAUUCCGAACCAACCAUGGAAAUACUCUUCGCAAAUUUCAACCGAGCGACAAUAAUGCUUCAACGAAAACCAAUAGUUAGUUGCAUUACUUUGAGCCAAAACAAAAUAUAAAUCUCCCAAUCGAGCAAAAAGUCGAGGCUCGAAAGGCUGAAGCAACACCAUUUCUUCAUAACAAAAUAUAGCACUUUCAAACCUAUACAAUCAAUUAGAAUUCAGAGAUAAACAGAAAUUCUUUAUGACUUACGCUUCCACUGACACGUAUAUAUCGGCAAGUUCUGCCCAUGCCUCCAAGUCAUUAUAAAAAGUAUCAAGAUAAUUAAUGAGUCCUUGAAUACAUUCUUUCGUUUGUCCCAUAGAACGCAAUAAAGCCAAUUU
Molecule: non-coding RNA, 1203 nt
Organism: Schizosaccharomyces pombe (fission yeast)
Lineage: Eukaryota; Fungi; Ascomycota; Schizosaccharomycetes; Schizosaccharomycetales; Schizosaccharomycetaceae
Source: the annotation of a GenBank genome assembly